RNAcentral lists this ribosomal RNA (301 nucleotides) under uncultured bacterium. RNAcentral describes it as "partial 16S ribosomal RNA". It matches the Rfam family "Bacterial small subunit ribosomal RNA", at positions 510 to 808 of the family's 1533-position model. The record is from RNAcentral.
AGCAGCCGCGGUAAUACAGAGGGUGCGAGCGUUAAUCGGAUUUACUGGGCGUAAAGCGUGCGUAGGCGGCUUCUUAAGUCGGAUGUGAAAUCCCUGAGCUUAACUUAGGAAUUGCAUUCGAUACUGGGAAGCUAGAGUAUGGGAGAGGAUGGUAGAAUUCCAGGUGUAGCGGUGAAAUGCGUAGAGAUCUGGAGGAAUACCGAUGGCGAAGGCAGCCAUCUGGCCUAAUACUGACGCUGAGGUACGAAAGCAUGGGGAGCAAACAGGAUUAGAUACCCGCGUAGUCCCUGUCUCUUAUACC